Molecule: ribosomal RNA, 585 nt
Filed under: uncultured bacterium
Lineage: Bacteria
Description: partial 16S ribosomal RNA
Rfam family: Bacterial small subunit ribosomal RNA
Source: RNAcentral
UGGGGAAUUUUGGACAAUGGGCGAAAGCCUGAUCCAGCAAUGCCGCGUGUGUGAAGAAGGCCUUCGGGUUGUAAAGCACUUUUGUCCGGAAAGAAAUCCUUGGCUCUAAUACAGUCGGGGGAUGACGGUACCGGAAGAAUAAGCACCGGCUAACUACGUGCCAGCAGCCGCGGUAAUACGUAGGGUGCAAGCGUUAAUCGGAAUUACUGGGCGUAAAGCGUGCGCAGGCGGUUUGCUAAGACCGAUGUGAAAUCCCCGGGCUCAACCUGGGAACUGCAUUGGUGACUGGCAGGCUAGAGUAUGGCAGAGGGGGGUAGAAUUCCACGUGUAGCAGUGAAAUGCGUAGAGAUGUGGAGGAAUACCGAUGGCGAAGGCAGCCCCCUGGGCCAAUACUGGCGCUCAUGCACGAAAGCGUGGGGAGCAAACAGGAUUAGAUACCCUGGUAGUCCACGCCCUAAACGAUGUCAACUAGUUGUUGGGGAUUCAUUUCCUUAGUAACGUAGCUAACGCGUGAAGUUGACCGCCUGGGGAGUACGGUCGCAAGAUUAAAACUCAAAUGAAUUGACGGGGUCAUAGCUGUUUCCU